AUGCUAUCAGAGUUGUGGCUGUAUGACGCUCAUCUCACCGGCCUAUGCUGCUGGAGCUGUUUAAAUAGAGUAUCUUUGCGAACUGAACGCCAUAUAUGUCCCCUAUUCAGGGUGGAUGAGUGAUACACUGCAGAUAACUCUUGGAGGAAGUUGCCUUCUAAUGAAAGCUCCAAAUUUUGCAACAGAACCUAAAUUUAUCUAGUUACCAACCACCCAUUAACUUGAAACAUCUGUAUGGUCCAAAAUUGACUCUGCAAGUAAUUGGCUGAGCCAGCAGGGAGCAUAUGGAAAAUGUGAUUAAGCAAUAGUUCUUGGAUGAUACAACAAGGAUGUGCCAUAAAACCACAGGUUACAGUCAAUGUCCUCCUCAAAGACAUCUACUAGAAAAUUGUCAGACACAGUUCCCUCCAUGCACCCAUCCGUCCUUUACAGUGCCAUCCAUAUGUGUGGACAUUAGUGCAAGAUCGUGUUAAUGGUUAAGGUUAGGGAUGAGCGAA
This is a long non-coding RNA of Hyla sarda, 497 nucleotides long. RefSeq lists it as uncharacterized. The record is from RefSeq and is a predicted model, not a curated record. The transcript has 3 exons. Lineage: Eukaryota; Metazoa; Chordata; Amphibia; Anura; Hylidae.